UACGGAGGGUGCAAGCGUUAUCCGGAUUUACUGGGCGUAAAGCGCACGUAGUCGGCUUUGCAAGUCGGGUGUGAAAUCCCCGGGCUCAACCUGGGAACUGCAUCCGAGACUGCAUUGCUAGAGUAUGGGAGAGGGAAGCGGAAUUUCUGGUGUAGCAGUGAAAUGCGUAGAUAUCAGAAGGAACAUCAGUGGCGAAGGCGGCUUCCUGGACCAAUACUGACGAUCAGGUGCGAAAGCGUGGGGAGCAAACAGG
RNAcentral lists this ribosomal RNA (253 nucleotides) under uncultured bacterium. RNAcentral describes it as "partial 16S ribosomal RNA". It matches the Rfam family "Bacterial small subunit ribosomal RNA", at positions 524 to 776 of the family's 1533-position model. The record is from RNAcentral.